This 330-nucleotide ribosomal RNA is filed under the name Epiplatys roloffi. Its description in RNAcentral is "partial 12S ribosomal RNA". It matches the Rfam family "Bacterial small subunit ribosomal RNA", at positions 868 to 1360 of the family's 1533-position model. Lineage: Eukaryota; Metazoa; Chordata; Actinopteri; Cyprinodontiformes; Nothobranchiidae. The record is from RNAcentral.
UCCGCCAGGGGACUACAAGCAUAAGCUUAAAACCCAAAGGACUUGGCGGUGCUUUAGACCCACCUAGAGGAGCCUGUUCUAGAACCGAUAACCCCCGUUAAACCUCACCCCUUCUUGUUACUUUACCGCCUAUAUACCGCCGUCGUCAGCUUACCUUGUGAAAGAAUAAAAGUAGACAAAAACGGUCUAAACCCAAAACGUCAGGUCGAGGUGUAGCGAAUGAAGGGGAAAGAAAUGGGCUACAUUUCCUGAAUUCAGGAAAUAACGGAAUAUAUGAUGAAAUAAAUAUAUGAAGGAGGAUUUAGCAGUAAAUGGAAAGCAGAGUGUUCU